UUUCAUAACAGGCAGGGAAAAAAAAAAAAAAAAAAGGUUGUUUGCUUCUAAGGUCUCUGGUGUUUAAAGAGCUCAAGACAAAACUGCCGAGCAGAAUAUUCCAGUUUAUCCCGUGGAAUAGGAAGGAAUGGCCCCAGACGUAAUUACAAGAGAAAUUCACAGAGCCCAGUGCAAAGAGUGCAAAAGAGCCCAGAAGUGCCAGGGGCAAAAUGCGAUGGAUUAUUUCCAAUACCACUGACUUCCCAAUCGGCUCCCACCCCUGGACAGAAAUCUUGGCUGCCUCAGGGAUGCAGUUUGCAACCUCUCUGCUCCAACACUUUGACACCGACAGAAGAUGCGGAAGGACAAUCCGUGCCAGAUCUCUGCUCCACGCUGCAUCCAAAUGUGGUAAAACCCUGGAAAGCUCUGACGUAGGAGAGCCCUGCUUGUCCUGGUCUGAUCCUGAAUGACACUGACACCCACUGACUUCUCCCUGGAACAGAUGCUGCUUAGGAAAAACACCCAGAUCUGGAUAAACUAUAGGGGAAAAAAAAUGUUUAUUUCCGAAACACAGCCUUUAAAUACAGGGCACUGGCAUGUGUGGUAGGGAUGGAACACAACAUUGACCAAAUCCCUCAUGUCCUGGCUUUAAUACCCUACUGGAUAUGGAGAAAGGGAAAGAAUAAAGACUUCCCAGGCAGGAAUAAAGCUCAAAUCUCAGCUUCUCAAACUCCAUAAAGGAGCAAGGAGGCAUGGUGCAUGGCAGAGAGAACUUCCCUGGUAAUAUCCACAUGUCCCUGCCCUUUCCACCCAGCAGUUGCCCCAGGAAAUGGCUGAUGGCUGGGUUGUGUUAUGGCAGAAAAUAGGGAUUUUUCAGCUGGACAAUGAGCUGUGGCCACGGGGCAUCUGCAUCCCAACGCCUUUCCCUGCCCUUUACCUCAGCUGGCCUUUGCAAUAGGCUGCAGUGAAAUCAUGUUCCCAAUGGCAGGAACUCAAAAUAACUCAUGGUGUGCCCCAAACUGUGAGCAAAGAGGAUGUGAUCCUGGCCAAACAGAUCUGCUUGCUUCAGAGGGGGCAAUAUCUACACAGUAAUCAACAUCUAAUUCCCUUUUCCAGCCCGAAUAUUCCCUUGUGUGCUCAGCCACAUUUUCUGCUCAUCCAGAAAAUCUGCUGGGUGAACAUGAGGAUGUGAGGAAUGCCUGGAUCCCAGGGGUCAUCCCAGGAGCUACAAGCCCUCACAACCCAGAACCAAGGUUUUUCUCCUGGCUCAUUUCAUUCAUGAUCAUCAAACUUGGACAGGGCGACUGAAAAUUCAGAUUUCUGUGCUUUCCACACUUUCUAAAUUAAACUUUUCUCCCAUGUAAGUGAGCAAAGAAACACCCUUCUUGCCUCACAGAUGGGGAAACAGGAACAAAGAACCAAAUUGCAAUUUAGAACCUCAAAGUGCAAUUUAGAACUCCCAGGAGACACAAGAUCUCUCUCUUGCCAACCACCCCUUUGCUGUCUUCAACAGCUCAGAAUGACCAGCUGGGCAGAAUGAAAUUCCUUCCAUUCUCAGAUACUGCGAUAAAAUUUUAAUAAAUAAUCAAAUUAAA
Molecule: long non-coding RNA, 1574 nt
Organism: Taeniopygia guttata (zebra finch)
Lineage: Eukaryota; Metazoa; Chordata; Aves; Passeriformes; Estrildidae
Source: RefSeq, a predicted model, not a curated record